CUAACAUACAGCGGCAGUAAUGUGGAACAGACAACAUGUCACUACGUUAAUCUUCCAAGUAAAUCAGGCUGUAAAUAUUUUAUAUAGUGAUGACAAAUAUGCAUAUUCUCAUACAGCUACUUAUUAAACUUGCAGCAUAAAGAAGGCAGUCAUAGAGCUCAUAACUUCUGCACACUGUGUCACAAGGUGUAAAGAAAGCUGCAGGAGAACAUUCUGCUUGUGCACUUGUAAAGUCUUUAACAUUUGACUGUGACCGUCUUUUCACUUUCACCUUUCAUCUAAAGUGCAUUUAGUGUGAGAGCAGGAUGUGUUUCUAAUGUGUCAUAGUCAAAAGUCAAAAGAAGAGACCUCUGUGGAUCAUUCAGCUCCUGAUAAAAACCUCCUGAACAACGAACACUGAGGGAAUUCUCUCUGGGAGAAGUUUUAGGUGGUUGCAAUCUGCAGUUCACCAGUAGAGGCCACCAAAUCCCUGUAAAUCUUCCACACUUCUCCUUAAAUAGUAUUUGUGGCGUCUUUUUCUCAGCAGAUGUUUUGAGUUGUAGUUGCAGGAAAAGCACAGGUGAUACAAAUGUGUCCUGUUUACUCCAGAGUCAGAGGUCAGCACUCAGCAGGUGUGUGUUGUGUUACAGCUCAGAGCAGCAGCAGACACCACACUCUGCAGGGACCAUGGGAAGUGACAAGAUGGAGUCAAGACAUAAACCUACAUUCUGAUGUGUUUCUCCUAAACAUCCCUCCCAGGAGAAAUAAGGAGCAAAAGAACAGAUGGACUUGCACAGCACUUCUCUAGUCGUCUGAGCACUCAGAGCACUUUCACACUACUUGUUGAUUCUAUAAGGGGUUAUGAGAAACAGAUGAGAAUGUAGUAAUCUCCAAAUAAGAAGAUGAGUUAUGUCUGAUAAGACAAAGAAAACAUUGUGGUGAGCAGCACAUUUUCCUCUGGGGAGACAAGAGGAAGGUUAUUUCUCAGGAGCUGAAUUAAAGAAGUAUGAAAAAUGGUCACAAUCUCAUAUUGAUCUUAAACUGAGCUCAGUUACGUCUGGGAGAAAUAGGUUGGACAAAGAUCUGAUUUUGAGUUUUCCCUUCCUCUGGGUAUAUAUUCACAUGAAUUUCAUUUCAUGUGUAUCCACACUCCAGACGUUAAAGUCAGUAAAAUCAACUUCCUUUUGUUACAGAUGAAAUGACAGUAAAUGUUUGGGCCUCUGCACCCUCAUAAUGAUCCCAUACGAUGGAUCAGGAUUAUUGUUUAAGUGAUAAGUGAUUACUCUAAAAGUCUGUGUUGAUAAAAGAGAGGAAUCAUUCAGUGGGAACAGAAUCAACUUUUACUGAACUUCUCUGAUGUCUACUCAGUAGUUUCUGUGUAUCCAUCAGUUGAUGUGUCUGGAUGUCUGAUCAUCUCAUUUCCCACCCUGCUGCUCUUUGUGUCUUGUUUACUAGGAGGGCUGAAAGAGAAGCACGGUUCAGUAGGGAAAGACAUAAACCUACAUUCUGAUGUGUUUCUCCUAAACAUCCCUCCCAGGAGAAAUCAGGAGCAAAAGAACAGAUGGACUUGCACAGCACUUCUCUAGUCGUCUGAGCACUCAGAGCACUUUCACACUACUUGUUGAUUCUAUAAGGGGUUAUGAGAAACAGAUGAGAAUGUAGUAAUCUCCAAAUAAGAAGAUGAGUUAUGUCUGAUAAGACAAAGAAAACAUUGUGGUGAGCAGCACAUUUUCCUCUGGGGAGACAAGAGGAAGGUUAUUUCUCAGGAGCUGAAUUAAAGAAGUAUGAAAAAUGGUCACAAUCUCAUAUUGAUCUUAAACUGAGCUCAGUUACGUCUGGGAGAAAUAGGUUGGACAAAGAUCUGAUUUUGAGUUUUCCCUUCCUCUGGGUAUAUAUUCACAUGAAUUUCAUUUCAUGUGUAUCCACACUCCAGACGUUAAAGUCAGUAAAAUCAACUUCCUUUUGUUACAGAUGAAAUGACAGUAAAUGUUUGGGCCUCUGCACCCUCAUAAUGAUCCCAUACGAUGGAUCAGGAUUAUUGUUUAAGUGAUAAGUGAUUACUCUAAAAGUCUGUGUUGAUAAAAGAGAGGAAUCAUUCAGUGGGAACAGAAUCAACUUUUACUGAACUUCUCUGAUGUCUGCUCAGUAGUUUCUGUGUAUCCAUCAGUUGAUGUGUCUGGAUGUCUGAUCAUCUCAUUUCCCACCCUGCUGCUCUUUGUGUCUUG
Molecule: long non-coding RNA, 2204 nt
Organism: Epinephelus moara (kelp grouper)
Lineage: Eukaryota; Metazoa; Chordata; Actinopteri; Perciformes; Serranidae
Exons: 4
Source: RefSeq, a predicted model, not a curated record